GAUGAACGCUGACAGAAUGCUUAACACAUGCAAGUCUUUGGCGAAGCUGUGCUCGCACAGCCUAGCCAAGGCGGACGGGUGAGUAACGCGUAAGGAACUUGCCCCGCAGUCAGGGAUAACAGACGGAAACGACUGAUAAGACCUGGUAAAGUCAGGCGGACUCAUGUCCAGCCUGAUGAAAAGAGAUGCUGCAGGAGAGCCUUGCGUCCUAUUAGCUUGUUGGUGGGGUAACGGCCCACCAAGGCGAUGAUAGGUAGCCGGCCUGAGAGGGUGGACGGCCACAAGGGGACUGAGAUACGGCCCUUACUCCUACGGGAGGCAGCAGUGGGGAAUAUUGGACAAUGGGGGCAACCCUGAUCCAGCAAUUCUGUGUGCACGAUGAAGGUUUUCGGAUUGUAAAGUGCUUUCAGCAGGGAAGAAAAAAAUGACGGUACCUGCAGAAGAAGCGACGGCUAAAUACGUG
This 463-nucleotide ribosomal RNA is filed under the name uncultured bacterium. RNAcentral's name for it is "partial 16S ribosomal RNA". It matches the Rfam family "Bacterial small subunit ribosomal RNA", at positions 28 to 507 of the family's 1533-position model. The record is from RNAcentral.